Molecule: unclassified non-coding RNA, 351 nt
Filed under: soil metagenome
Description: partial contains 5.8S ribosomal RNA, internal transcribed spacer 2, and large subunit ribosomal RNA
Rfam family: 5.8S ribosomal RNA (bases 3-119)
Source: RNAcentral
GAGAAGAACGUAGUGAAAUGCGAUAAGUAAUGUGAAUUGCAGAAUUCAGUGAAUCAUCGAAUCUUUGAACGCACAUUGCGCCCGCCAGUAUUCUGGCGGGCAUGCCUGUUCGAGCGUCAUUACAACCCUCAGGCCCCCGGGCCUGGCGUUGGGGAUCGGCGGAGCCCCCCGUGGGCACACGCCGUCCCCCAAAUACAGUGGCGGUCCCGCCGCAGCUUCCAUCGCGUAGUAGCUAACACCUCGCGACUGGAGAGCGGCGCGGCCACGCCGUAAAACACCCAACUCUUCUGAAGUUGACCUCGAAUCAGGUAGGAAUACCCGCUGAACUUAAGCAUAUCAAUAAGCGGAGGA